CAAGACUUGCCCAUAAUUCAGAAUAGCUCUCCACUGCCUCAGCUCAAUUCAAACAUCUCAAAGAGUGACAAGCUGACCUGAAAGAUUUAUAUAACAACGGAGUGAGCUAAAAACAGCUCAGCAAGUAACAAAGCAUAUUCAGAACAAAAGGAACGGUUUCAAACAAGCAAGAUAUCAUAAUGCAAGGCAGAAUACAAGAAUUCUCAAGGAUACCAUCUCAUUAGAUACAAAAUCAUAUGUGUCAUGUCAUUCAAAACAUAUUUGGUUUAUAACCAAUGGAGCAUAGAGUAAUUGGAGCAUAUCAAUAGCGUACGAGAUGUUCCGGAGCAUAUCAAUGACAAAUGGAACAUUUCGGAACAUAUCAAUGGUAUGCGAAGCAUUUUGAUGUAUAUCAAUGGCAUAAGAAACAUUUUGGAGCAUAUCAAUACAAAAUACGAAACAGAAGCUCAGACGUCGUACCCUAGCAUAGUGCAUGUGAGGUUUAACUCAGUGGUGGCUCCACGCCGUUAUGAGUUCUCGACUCCAUCCACGGGUAGCCCUUUCCUACUCGGGCCCACUGACCCUGCCCAAGUGCUAGGUCGGCUCUGAAUUUUAUAUCAAACAGAUAGAAGGUGAAGUGGGAUUCCAAACAUAAUAUGAUGGUCUAUCCAUUUCUGAAUGACCACCAAACAUAAUCUAGAGCAUCGUUGGCUCUAAGCACAUACCCUUUACCAUUUCUAGCAAAGGUCCAAAUAAUCCCACAAACACCAAAGUACAAAAGGGUAUUGUGAACAAUAAAUUGGGACAUAUCGGAAGCACAUGCGGAACAACGAAAUGUACAUGUGCCUUUAUGAAACAUUACGAUACAAACAUGAAGUUUACAUAACAGAUUUAGGUAUCCAAAAACAUGUAGGACAAGAGCAUACAAGAAUUCAAAGCAGUAAUAUAAAGCUCAAUUGAAUAAAAAAGCUAAAGGAUAUCAAUUUUCAAAAGAAUGAAACCAGAAUAUGAGAAAUCGACCAAAGCUCGAUUUCUGGCAGAAUACAAGAGGCACAUUGAACAAAUGAAUCAAACUAUCAAUCGUGCUCUAAUUUUACUCAGAAAAGCUAUCAAAAGAAUGGUUUAUGAGUCUAUAUUCUGAUCAAAUAAUUUUUGUCCAAAUCAGAGGUCAAUACAUGAAGUUAUAAUCAUAACAAGGUAGAAAGGUCAGAAUCUCAGAAGUUGCACAGAUUCAAAUCAUUACAUCUAAAUAGGAGAUAUAUCAAAUACAAGGCUAGAACAAUUCAAUGUUCCUCAUAUUCAAAGCAAAUGUAGAGAUAAAAUUGCAGUAAGGAAAGAUCAGGACACUUGCAAAUGGAAAGAUUAGAACAAUAACAGGAGAAACGAUCGGGAAACUUGCCUUUCAAUGAUUUUGAUCUGAAGAUCCAAAGAAGGUGCCAGCCCAAAUCCUUCUACUUUUCCUCCGUGUCCUCUCUCUGAUUCGUUUUGUGCUCUCAUUUUCUUUCUUUCUUCGCAACUACACCACGUGCCGAAUAUCGAGGCACAGUCACUUGCUCUCUCUUACUCUCAUUCCUUCUUUUUUCUUUUCCAAACGCAGCUGCCACAACCACCACCGCUGCUGCCGCCACAGUCGCUACCCCUUCCACCGCACUGCCUUCUUCCUCCCCUUCUUUCGCAGACACAGCUACUGCAUACGCAGUCUCAGCCGCUACGGCCGCAAUCCCGUCCGUAGCCCCUUUUUUCCCCCUUUCCUUUCCUUUCUUUCCCAGCUGCAACUGCCGCAGUCGCAGUCGCAGUCGCAGCCAUGGCCGCAGCCACCACAACCGCAGCCUCUUCUUCCU
This 1820-nucleotide long non-coding RNA is filed under the name Musa acuminata (dwarf banana). Its description in RNAcentral is "long non-coding RNA (MACU_LNC011038)". The record is from RNAcentral. Lineage: Eukaryota; Viridiplantae; Streptophyta; Magnoliopsida; Zingiberales; Musaceae.